This 789-nucleotide ribosomal RNA is filed under the name uncultured bacterium. RNAcentral's name for it is "bacterial SSU rRNA". It matches the Rfam family "Bacterial small subunit ribosomal RNA", at positions 8 to 796 of the family's 1533-position model. The record is from RNAcentral.
AGAGUUUGAUCAUGGCUCAGGAUGAACGCUGGCGGCGUGCCUAAUACAUGCAAGUCGAGCGGUAAGGUUCCCACUCUGUUCUCAACGCGGUAAAACGCGGUUGAGGCCAGGGUGGGAAUACACGAGCGGCGGACGGCUGAGUAACACGUAGGAACCUACCCCAAACUGAGGGAUAAGCACCAGAAAUGGUGUCUAAUACCGCAUGUGCUCUUCGGAGUAAAGCUACGGCGGUUUGGGAAGGGCCUGCGCAUGAUUAGCUUGUUGGUGAGGUAAAAGCUCACCAAGGCGACGAUCAUUAGCUGGUCUGAGAGGAUGAUCAGCCAGACUGGGACUGAGAACGGCCCAGACUCCUACGGGAGGCAGCAGUAGGGAAUUUUCCACAAUGGACGGAAGUCUGAUGGAGCAACGCCGCGUGCAGGAUGAAUGCCUUCGGGUUGUAAACUGCUUUUAUCUGUGACGAUUAUGACGGUAGCAGAUGAAUAAGGAUCGGCUAACUCCGUGCCAGCAGCCGCGGUCAUACGGAGGAUCCAAGCGUUAUCCGGAAUUACUGGGCGUAAAGAGUUGCGUAGGUGGCAUGGUAAGUUGCUAGUGAAAGCCUGGGGCUCAACCCCUUACACAUUAGCAAAACUGCCAAGCUUGAGGACGAGAGAGGUUAUUGGAAUUCCUAGUAGGAGUGAAAUCCGUAGAUAUUAGGAGGAACACCGAUGGCGUAGGCAGAUAACUGGCUCGUUCCUGACACUAAGGCACGAAAGCAUGGGUAGCAAACGGGAUUAGAUACCCUAGUAGUCC